AAUGAACGCUGGCGGCAUGCCUAACACAUGCAAGUCGAACGAAACCUUCCGGUCUUGUUUCGCUCGUCUGCUUACCGCGUGGGAACCUGCCCUUAGGUUCUGUAUAACUCCCUGCAAGGUAUGCUUAUACCGGUUAAUGUCUUCCCACCAAAGAUUUAUCGCUUUUGGAUGGGCCCGCGUUGGAUUAGCUAGUUGGUAGGGUAAAAGCCUACCCAGGUGACGAUCCAUAGCUGGUCUGAGAGGAUGAUCAGCCACACUGGGACUGAGACACGGCCCAGACUGCUACGGGAGGGAGCAGUGGGGAAUAAUGGACAAUAGGCGAAAGCAUGAACCAGCAGUGCGGGGUGAGGGAUGAAGGGCUUAGGGUUGUAAAGCUCUUGUACCAGGGAUGAUAAUGACAGUACCGGGAGAAGAAGCACCGGCUAACUACGUG
RNAcentral lists this ribosomal RNA (433 nucleotides) under uncultured bacterium. Its description in RNAcentral is "partial 16S ribosomal RNA". It matches the Rfam family "Bacterial small subunit ribosomal RNA", at positions 29 to 507 of the family's 1533-position model. The record is from RNAcentral.